AAAUGCGAUAAGUAGUGUGAAUUGCAGAAUUCAGUGAAUCAUCGAAUCUUUGAACGCACAUUGCGCCCUUUGGUAUUCCUUAGGGCAUGCCUGUUCGAGCGUCAUCUAAACCUUCAAGCCCUGCUUGGUGUUGGGUGCCUGUCCCGCCUCCGCGCGCGGACUCACCUCAAAUCCAUUGGCGGUCCCCGCGUCGGCCACGAGCGCAGCAGAAACGCGAACUCGUGAGCCCGUCCGGGCGGCUCCCAGAAGCUACACCCACCCAGUUUGACCUCGGAUCAGGUAGGGAUACCCGCUGAACUUAAGC
Molecule: unclassified non-coding RNA, 304 nt
Filed under: plant metagenome
Description: partial contains 5.8S ribosomal RNA, internal transcribed spacer 2, and large subunit ribosomal RNA
Rfam family: 5.8S ribosomal RNA (bases 1-104)
Source: RNAcentral